AAGCUCGUAGUAGAAGCUCGGGCUCCGGCCGACCGGUCCGCCUCACCGCGUGCACUGGUUCGGCCGGGCCUUCACCUUCUGCGGAACCGCAUCCCCUUCACUGGGGGUGUCGGGGAAACAGGACGUUUACUGUGAAAAAAUUAGAGUGCUCCAGGCAGGCCUAUGCUCGAAUAGAUUAGCAUGGAAUAAUGGAAUAGGACGUGUGGUCUUAUUUCGUUGGUUUCUAGGACCGCCGUAAUGAUUAAUAGGGACAGUCGGGGGCAUCAGUAUUCAAUUGUCAGAGGUGAAAUUCUUGGAUUUAUUGAAGACUAACUACUGCGAAAGCAUUUGCCAAGGAUGUUUUCAUUAAUCAGGAACGAAAGUUAGGGGAUCGAAGACGAUCAGAUACCGUCGUAGUCUUAACCAUAAACUAUGCCGACUAGGGAUCGGACGAUGUUAUUUUUUGACUCGUUCGGCACC
Molecule: ribosomal RNA, 459 nt
Filed under: uncultured fungus
Lineage: Eukaryota; Fungi
Description: SSU rRNA
Rfam family: Eukaryotic small subunit ribosomal RNA
Source: RNAcentral